This 396-nucleotide ribosomal RNA is filed under the name uncultured bacterium. RNAcentral describes it as "bacterial SSU rRNA". It matches the Rfam family "Bacterial small subunit ribosomal RNA", at positions 30 to 424 of the family's 1533-position model. The record is from RNAcentral.
AUUGAACGCUGGCGGCAUGCUUUACACAUGCAAGUCGAACGGUAACAGGGAGCUUGCUCCGCUGACGAGUGGCGAACGGGUGAGUAAUGCAUCGGAACGUGCCUAUUUGUGGGGGAUAACGUAGCGAAAGUUACGCUAAUACCGCAUACGCCCUGAGGGGGAAAGCGGGGGAUUCGUAAGAACCUCGCGCAAUUAGAGCGGCCGAUGUCGGAUUAGCUAGUUGGUGGGGUAAAGGCUCACCAAGGCGACGAUCCGUAGCGGGUCUGAGAGGAUGAUCCGCCACACUGGGACUGAGACACGGCCCAGACUCCUACGGGAGGCAGCAGUGGGGAAUUUUGGACAAUGGGCGAAAGCCUGAUCCAGCCAUGCCGCGUGAGUGACCAACGCCUUCGGGUU